CAGCAGCCACGGUAACACGUAGGGUGCAAGCGUUAAUCGGAAUUACUGGGCGUAAAGCGUGCGCAGGCGGUUAUAUAAGACAGAUGUGAAAUCCCCGGGCUCAACCUGGGAACUGCAUUUGUGACUGUAUAGCUAGAGUACGGCAGAGGGGGAUGGAAUUCCGCGUGUAGCAGUGAAAUGCGUAGAUAUGCGGAGGAACACCGAUGGCGAAGGCAAUCCCCUGGGCCUGUACUGACGCUCAUGCACGAAAGCGUGGGGAGCAAACAGGAUUAGAUACCCCUGUAGUCCCUGUCUCUUAUAC
RNAcentral lists this ribosomal RNA (301 nucleotides) under uncultured bacterium. RNAcentral's name for it is "partial 16S ribosomal RNA". It matches the Rfam family "Bacterial small subunit ribosomal RNA", at positions 509 to 807 of the family's 1533-position model. The record is from RNAcentral.